GACAGCCCGGCGAACCGCGCAGUGCGCUUCUUCUGCCUGCAGCAGAGAAAAGGAAAGAAAACUCCGCAGGGGCUCCGUUGGCUUCUUCACGAGUGACAACCAUGUUUUCCCAGAUAGAAGACCGGAGCCCUGCUCCUUUGCGAUCCGCCGAGGGCUGCAGAGAGCAUCCUCAUCCAUUUGGGCACCCCUGCCCAGGAAGAGCCCGGCCAUCCCUUUCCAGACUGGAUCCUUAAGAGGUGAAUUUUCUUCCGUGGAUUCCGAUUUGCUCCGUCUGACCAGCCUAGGCAAUCCAGCAUCGCGUGGUACCAGUGCCGCUGGGCACACUCGCUUCACGCCGGCUCCGCCUCACCAGCAAGCGCAUUCCCAGAUGGAGUCUCACUCUCUCACCCAGACUGGAGUGCAGUGAAGCAAUCUCAGCUCACUGCAACCUCCACCCUCCCGGGUUCAAGUAAUUCUCCUGCUUCAGCCUCCUGAGUAGCUAGGAUUACAGGCAUGCACCAUCAUACCUGGCUGUAGCCCUUAUUUUAAAUUCAAUGUACUGUAAUGAUUUACUUGGUUUAUUGUCUUAACUUUCUGUUCCACUGGAAUACAGGUUCAAUAAGAGAGGGAUUUUAAUCAAUUUUGUUCUCUGAAGUGUCUUCAGAACCAAAUGAGUAAAAAAUUAUCAUUGUUAACGUUUUCACUUCGUGCUAGCAUAUGGGCAAUCUCAAUUUAUUUCUAAUAACUCCCUGUAUCUUUC
This 739-nucleotide long non-coding RNA is filed under the name Pan troglodytes (chimpanzee). Its description in RNAcentral is "lincRNA". The record is from RNAcentral. Lineage: Eukaryota; Metazoa; Chordata; Mammalia; Primates; Hominidae.